UACGUAGGGGGCAAGCGUUGUCCGGAAUCAUUGGGCGUAAAGAGCGUGUAGGCGGUCCGGUCAGUCGGUUGUGAAAGUCAAGGGCUCAACCCUUGAAUGCCGGCCGAUACUGCCGGGCUAGAGUCCGGAAGAGGUGAGUGGAAUUCCUGGUGUAGCGGUGAAAUGCGUAGAUAUCUGGAGGAACACCGGUGGCGAAGGCGGCAUCCUGGACCGGCAUUGACGCUGAGGCGCGAAAGCCAGGGGAGCAAACGGG
This 253-nucleotide ribosomal RNA is filed under the name uncultured bacterium. RNAcentral's name for it is "partial 16S ribosomal RNA". It matches the Rfam family "Bacterial small subunit ribosomal RNA", at positions 524 to 776 of the family's 1533-position model. The record is from RNAcentral.